UUGUAUGGUGCUGUCUUUCUCAGAUUUGCCUGCCCUUAGCCUCUUAGUUGAAGUGGUAGUUGUUUUGAUUCCCAAAUAUAAAUGAGCAGCCUCAAAGACCUGGUUUGUGGAGAGUCCCUGGAACUCCUCUAUAACAAUGGAUGGGUUAUGGAAUUUGUAGAGCGGUUAGAACAAUUUACUGUAGAAUUUUGACGCCCCUGAAAAUUCUUUUUCUUCAUCAACAACGGUCAAGGUCAACAAUGGAGGCCUGUCGGGGCAGUCUUUUCUAAACAACAUCAAGAAUGGUAAACCUAUAGAAGAAGGCGAGAAGUAAGUGAUUGAAGGCUGGAGGAAAUUCAUUGGAAGCAGUUGAAAAGGAAAGGACAUAAAUGACACCAAUCUGAGGUCAAUUUUGUUGGAAAUUUGUAGCAUCUUUUGUAUUUUAUGGCCGUUUGAUUCCAAACUUUAAAAAUUAUUUAAUAAUUUAUAUUUUAUUACUUAUAUUAAUUUUUUUAGUUUAUUAGU
Molecule: long non-coding RNA, 504 nt
Organism: Mangifera indica (mango)
Lineage: Eukaryota; Viridiplantae; Streptophyta; Magnoliopsida; Sapindales; Anacardiaceae
Exons: 3
Source: RefSeq, a predicted model, not a curated record